This 128-nucleotide microRNA precursor is filed under the name Myotis brandtii (Brandt's bat). RNAcentral describes it as "mir-9193 microRNA precursor family". It matches the Rfam family "mir-9193 microRNA precursor family". Lineage: Eukaryota; Metazoa; Chordata; Mammalia; Chiroptera; Vespertilionidae. The record is from Rfam by way of RNAcentral.
CAUGGACCAGUGGGGUCCUUUGGCCUGGCCUGCACUGUCUUGCAAUCCGGAAACCCCUAGGGGGGAUGUUGGAGAGCUGGUUUCAGCCUGAUCCUGCAGGCCAGGCUGAGGGACCCCACUGGUGCAAG